GACGAACGCUGGCGGCGUGCUUAACACAUGCAAGUCGAACGGAAAGGCCCUGCUUUUGUGGGGUGCUCGAUUGGCGAACGGGUGAGUAACACGUGAGUAACCUGCCCUUGACUUUGGGAUAACUUCAGGAAACUGGGGCUAAUACCGGAUAGGAGCUCCUGCUGCAUGUGGGGGGUUGGAAAGUUUCGGCGGUUGGGGAUGGACUCGCGGCUUAUCAGCUUGUUGGUGGGGUAGUGGCUUACCAAGGCUUUGACGGGUAGCCGGCCUGAGAGCGUGACCGGCCACAUUGGGACUGCGGUACGGCCCAGACUCCUACGGGAGGCAGCAGUGGGGAAUUUUGCACAAUGGGCGGAAGCCUGAUGCAGCAACGCCGCGUGCGGGAUGACGGCCUUCGGGUUGUAAACCGCUUUCGCCUGUGACGAAGCGUGAGUGACGGUAAUGGGUAAAGAAGCACCGGCUAACUACGUG
RNAcentral lists this ribosomal RNA (468 nucleotides) under uncultured bacterium. RNAcentral's name for it is "partial 16S ribosomal RNA". It matches the Rfam family "Bacterial small subunit ribosomal RNA", at positions 28 to 507 of the family's 1533-position model. The record is from RNAcentral.